Long non-coding RNA from Drosophila yakuba, 751 nucleotides. RefSeq lists it as uncharacterized. The record is from RefSeq and is a predicted model, not a curated record. The transcript is spliced from 2 exons. NCBI's taxonomy places the organism in Eukaryota, Metazoa, Arthropoda, Insecta, Diptera, Drosophilidae.
UGGGUUCUUUAAUUAGGUCGGCUAAGCCUACUUCCCUUAUAGAUGGCUUUGAGUCUGCUAUCAAGGAAAGAAACAUUUAUUAUCAGGAACUAUCCCGAAAAAGGAAAUUUGAAAAUACAGUUAGUGCCGCGGCCUCCACAUAUAAGCGUAAUGACCAGAGGAGACCUAUAGCACAGACGCUUCCAGAUCACUUAUGAAUCCAGAAUUUGCUACCCCAUAUAGAACUAGAAAACUUGCCCAACCACUUACCCUGACAACAGCUUUAAAUUCCCAUCAAAUAGUUGAGGAAGUCAGAUACCCUGCAUUAAAAGAAUUUAACACAUCUCGAUAUUUUUUUUAUUUUUAUUGUUCAAAUUUCACAAUACCUUUGACGGAGGGAUUGGCAUGGAUAUACUUCAGCAAAUAGGAGCAGAAAUUGAUUUGGUAAAAUCCAAUUGAGAACGACAUUAACUCAAUUACCCAUUUGCUUCAAAACAAUUCGAGUCCUCAAUUAUAUGUUUUGGAACGCAACAAAAAAAAAAUGCUCCGGAUCUGUUUUCGCCAGAAGGAUUGUACAAGGCCGAUGCAUAUCGACAACCAAAAAGAAAAAAUUCGUACGCAACAUGAAAAUUCAAAUCAUAGAGGGGCGGACGAAGUGACAUUAAAACUCAAAAGAGAGUUCUAUUUCCCAAACAUGUAUGAAUAAGUAAAACAGAUUAUUCAAAACUGUAAUGUAUGCUAAAGUUUGAAAUAUGAUAGAAACCCACCUUAA